AGUCGUAGCUCAGCUGGAUAGAGCAUCCGCCUUCUAAGCGGACGGUCAAAGGUUCGAAUCCUUUCGACUG
This 70-nucleotide transfer RNA is filed under the name marine eukaryotic metagenome. It matches the Rfam family "tRNA". From Rfam's summary of the family: Transfer RNA (tRNA) molecules are approximately 80 nucleotides in length. The record is from RNAcentral.